UAAACACUCCGAAGCCACAUUGUU
RNAcentral lists this microRNA (24 nucleotides) under Sarcophilus harrisii (Tasmanian devil). RNAcentral's name for it is "Sha-Mir-12475-P10_5p (mature (co-guide))". The record is from RNAcentral. Lineage: Eukaryota; Metazoa; Chordata; Mammalia; Dasyuromorphia; Dasyuridae.